This 1425-nucleotide ribosomal RNA is filed under the name Scinax belloni. RNAcentral describes it as "partial 16S large subunit ribosomal RNA". It matches the Rfam family "Bacterial large subunit ribosomal RNA", at positions 113 to 2597 of the family's 2925-position model. The record is from RNAcentral. Lineage: Eukaryota; Metazoa; Chordata; Amphibia; Anura; Hylidae.
GCCUAAAAUCUAGCCCCACCCCCUCCCCUCCCCAUCUACUAAACUAACUUAAAACAUUUUUAUACUUAAGUAAAGGAGAUUGAAAAACUUAAUGGAGCAAUAAAAAUAGUACCGCAAGGGAAAGAUGAAAUAGAAAUGAAAUAAUACUCAAGCACAAAAAAGUAGAGACACCCCCUCGUACCUUUUGCAUCAUGGUUUAACUAGUCUAAUCAAGCAAAGAGCAUUUUAGUUUGACCCCCCGAAACUAAGCGAGCUACUUCAGGGCAGCUUUAUGAGCGAACCCGUCUCUGUUGCAAAAGAGUGGGAUGACCCUCAAGUAGAAGUGACAGACCUAACGAGCUUAGUGAUAGCUGGUUACUCAAGAAAAGGAUUUUAGUCCAACCUAAAGAACCCUCAAAUUUUUAAAAAUUUUCUAUUAUAACUUUAGAGCAAUUCAAAUAAGGUACAGCCUAUUUGAAACAGGAUACAACCUCGACUGACGGGUAACAAAUUUUUUCUACAAACAAGUAGGCCUAAGAGCAGCCACCUUUAUAAAAGCGUCAAAGCUUAUUCAUUUAAUCCAAUUAAUCCCCUAAACCCCCUUCAACCCUCUAAUAGUAUUGAGUAAUUCUAUUCACCUUAUAGAAUUUAUAAUGUUAAAACUAGUAACAAGAAGUAAACCUUCUCCUAAAUGUAAGUGUAAAUCAGUAAAGGAUAAACCACUGAAAAUUAACGUCUAUGAGCCCACAUUAGCAACUUCACAAGAAAACCCUAAUGCAACACCCCGUUAACCUAACACAAGAGCAUUCCAAGAAAGAUUAAAAGAGAAAGAAGGAACUCGGCAAAUCAUAACCCCGCCUGUUUACCAAAAACAUCGCCUCUUGCAUAAGAUAAGAGGUCCAGCCUGCCCAGUGACCCAAGUUCAACGGCCGCGGUAUCCUAACCGUGCGAAGGUAGCGUAAUCACUUGUUCUUUAAAUGAGGACUAGUAUGAAUGGCAUCACGAGGGUUAUACUGUCUCCUUUUUCUAAUCAGUGAAACUAACCUCCCCGUGAAGAGGCGGGGAUAAAACUAUAAGACGAGAAGACCCUAUGGAGCUUUAAAUUUUUAUUUCAACUGCUCAACCCACAAAAAGUUCCGACUACUCACAAUCAGCCUAGCACUAUGACAAUAAAUUUUAGGUUGGGGUGACCGCGGAGAAUAAAAAAACCUCCACGUUGAAUUAGGCCUUUAGCCUUGAAUCAAGAGCCACGACUCUAUGUACUAAAAAACUAACAUCCAUUGACCCAAUUAUUUUGAUCAACGAACCAAGUUACCCUAGGGAUAACAGCGCAAUCCACUUUAAGAGCCCCUAUCGACAAGUGGGUUUACGACCUCGAUGUUGGAUCAGGGUAUCCCAGUGGCGCAGCCGCUACUAAAGGUUCGUUUGUUCAACGAUUAAAACCCU